UGGGGAAUAUUGCACAAUGGGCGCAAGCCUGAUGCAGCCAUGCCGCGUGUAUGAAGAAGGCCUUCGGGUUGUAAAGUACUUUCAGCGAGGAGGAAGGCGUUGUGGUUAAUAACCGCAGCGAUUGACGUUACUCGCAGAAGAAGCACCGGCUAACUCCGUGCCAGCAGCCGCGGUAAUACGGAGGGUGCAAGCGUUAAUCGGAAUUACUGGGUGUAAAGCGCACGCAGGCGGUCUGUCAAGUCGGAUGUGAAAUCCCCGGGCUCAACCUGGGAACUGCAUCCGAAACUGGCAGGCUAGAGUCUUGUAGAGGGGGGUAGAAUUCCAGGUGUAGCGGUGAAAUGCGUAGAGAUCUGGAGGAAUACCGGUGGCGAAGGCGGCCCCUUGGACAAAGACUGACGCUCAGGUGCGAAAGCGUGGGGAGCAAACA
RNAcentral lists this ribosomal RNA (427 nucleotides) under uncultured bacterium. RNAcentral describes it as "partial 16S ribosomal RNA". It matches the Rfam family "Bacterial small subunit ribosomal RNA", at positions 355 to 774 of the family's 1533-position model. The record is from RNAcentral.